UACGGAGGGGGUUAGCGUUGUUCGGAAUUACUGGGGGUAAAGCGCACGUAGGCGGAUUAGAAAGUUGGGGGUGAAAUCCCGGGGCUCAACCUCGGAACUGCCUCCAAAACUCCUAGUCUAGAGUUCGAGAGAGGUGAGUGGAAUUCCAAGUGUAGAGGUGAAAUUCGUAGAUAUUUGGAGGAACACCAGUGGCGAAGGCGGCUCACUGGCUCGAUACUGACGCUGAGGUGCGAAAGUGUGGGGAGCAAACAGC
Molecule: ribosomal RNA, 253 nt
Filed under: uncultured bacterium
Lineage: Bacteria
Description: partial 16S ribosomal RNA
Rfam family: Bacterial small subunit ribosomal RNA
Source: RNAcentral